Molecule: long non-coding RNA, 398 nt
Organism: Xenia sp. Carnegie-2017
Lineage: Eukaryota; Metazoa; Cnidaria; Anthozoa; Malacalcyonacea; Xeniidae
Exons: 2
Source: RefSeq, a predicted model, not a curated record
UUGUCAGUGAGUAUAUAAAAAGGGCAAGUAUCCUCUGUUUCAUUAAACUGAUACCUUCAACUGCUUUGCAAGGAGAGAUAAAGAAGAAAACAAACAGGCAAAAAAAGAAAAAUGAGAUUCCUUAUUGCGUGUGGCCUCGUGUGCAUUCUUUUCUUUUCAUUGGCUCAUUGUGAUGAGAUGGAGACUGAGUACGAUAACGAAGUCACUCAAGACAUUUUUGAAGACCAAGAAGAUUUACCAGUUAUAAAAUCUACUUUUGAGAAGCAAAAGGCGAGAAAGUCGUGCGGGCAUGGCUUUUGGUGCAAUAAAAAUUAAGAACUGGGACUAAAAUCUUGUAGAAAAUAUAAAAUCACCAGUUUACGUAGAUUCGAUGAAUAAAAAUACAAGAAUUAUGCAAA